ACCGCAGUUCCUGCUGCCAUCGAGGAACUACUCCAUCACGGUGGCAACUCACCCCACUACCAACUACAAGAAGGUAGCGAUUUAGACCUUACCUGCAUGGCCAGCGGACGGCCCUCUGCCUACAGUCACAUGGAAAUAUCAAGGAAAAGUGCUUAGCGCCGAAGAGUCAAUCGUUGAUGUUUACCAGAAGGUAUCCAGCGUUCAUCGGAUCGUUGGUGCCCGCAGACUGGAUGCCGGCUCUUACAUUUGCGAGGCGGAUAACGGCGUUGAUCUCCCAGCAACUGCUACAUUCAAUGUCGAGAUUGCUCAUGCUCCGGAGAUUGCGGUAGAACACACUUGGGUUCAUACAGGAUUGGGAGCGCUGACUGAGCUUGCGUGCACGGUGUACGCUCAACCAGCGGCUCAGGUGACGUGGUUCCGGUCAGUUGAAGGUGUCGGAAACGGUGAAGGUGAAAGAAAGCAUCUAGAAGUCCUUCCUUCGAAUCGAAUUGGAACACUGGUUAUGUCUAACUGGCCGAAGCAAUGUUCGCUUCAAGAGCGUCCGUGACGCAGAUUUGGGGAUCAGCACCUGCCGGGCCGA
Long non-coding RNA from Daphnia carinata, 580 nucleotides. RefSeq lists it as uncharacterized. NCBI's taxonomy places the organism in Eukaryota, Metazoa, Arthropoda, Branchiopoda, Diplostraca, Daphniidae. The transcript has 5 exons. The record is from RefSeq and is a predicted model, not a curated record.